AAAUUGAAGAGUUUGAUCAUGGCUCAGAUUGAACGCUGGCGGCAGGCCUAACACAUGCAAGUCGAACGGUAACAGGAAGCAGCUUGCUGUUUCGCUGACGAGUGGCGGACGGGUGAGUAAUGUCUGGGAAACUGCCUGAUGGAGGGGGAUAACUACUGGAAACGGUAGCUAAUACCGCAUAACGUCGCAAGACCAAAGAGGGGGACCUUCGGGCCUCUUGCCAUCGGAUGUGCCCAGAUGGGAUUAGCUAGUAGGUGGGGUAACGGCUCACCUAGGCGACGAUCCCUAGCUGGUCUGAGAGGAUGACCAGCCACACUGGAACUGAGACACGGUCCAGACUCCUACGGGAGGCAGCAGUGGGGAAUAUUGCACAAUGGGCGCAAGCCUGAUGCAGCCAUGCCGCGUGUAUGAAGAAGGCCUUCGGGUUGUAAAGUACUUUCAGCGGGGAGGAAGGGAGUAAAGUUAAUACCUUUACUCAUUGACGUUACCCGCAGAAGAAGCACCGGCUAACUCCGUGCCAGCAGCCGCGGUAAUACGGAGGGUGCAAGCGUUAAUCGGAAUUACUGGGCGUAAAGCGCACGCAGGCGGUUUGUUAAGUCAGAUGUGAAAUCCCCGGGC
Molecule: ribosomal RNA, 618 nt
Filed under: Escherichia coli
Lineage: Bacteria; Pseudomonadati; Pseudomonadota; Gammaproteobacteria; Enterobacterales; Enterobacteriaceae
Description: bacterial SSU rRNA
Rfam family: Bacterial small subunit ribosomal RNA
Source: RNAcentral